RNAcentral lists this ribosomal RNA (247 nucleotides) under uncultured bacterium. RNAcentral describes it as "partial 16S ribosomal RNA". It matches the Rfam family "Bacterial small subunit ribosomal RNA", at positions 93 to 334 of the family's 1533-position model. The record is from RNAcentral.
UAGCGGCGGACGGGUGAGUAACACGUGGGUAACCUGCCCAAGAGAUCGGGAUAACACCUGGAAACAGAUGCUAAUACCGGAUAACAACAGAUGAUGCCUAUCAACUGUUUAAAAGAUGGUUCUGCUAUCACUCUUGGAUGGACCUGCGGUGCAUUAGCUAGUUGGUAGGGUAACGGCCUACCAAGGCGAUGAUGCAUAGCCGAGUUGAGAGACUGAUCGGCCACAUUGGGACUGAGACACGGCCCAA